Molecule: long non-coding RNA, 256 nt
Organism: Prionailurus viverrinus (fishing cat)
Lineage: Eukaryota; Metazoa; Chordata; Mammalia; Carnivora; Felidae
Exons: 3
Source: RefSeq, a predicted model, not a curated record
CACGAUCGCAGGAAGGCGGGCUUAGUGGGAGCAGCCUGGGGGACGUCCCACCGUAGAGAGCACACGCCUGGGCACUGGACGGGCGUGAUGAGGAGACAUCGCCACUCCCUCUUUGGGGCUCAGAGAAGGUGGAUCUACUUUGGAUUCACGGCCCCACCCUACCAGACAACGUUGUGGGAUGUGACAGCAGGAAAGACACUUAGCCACUUUGGGCCUCAGUUUCCCAGUCUGAAACGGAUGCGUUGAGCUGAUCCUG